This 647-nucleotide ribosomal RNA is filed under the name Claviceps lovelessii. RNAcentral describes it as "eukaryotic LSU rRNA". It matches the Rfam family "Eukaryotic large subunit ribosomal RNA", at positions 1 to 669 of the family's 3401-position model. Lineage: Eukaryota; Fungi; Ascomycota; Sordariomycetes; Hypocreales; Clavicipitaceae. The record is from RNAcentral.
UUGACCUCGAAUCAGGUAGGAAUACCCGCUGAACUUAAGCAUAUCAAUAAGCGGAGGAAAAGAAACCAACAGGGAUUGCCCCAGUAACGGCGAGUGAAGCGGCAACAGCUCAAAUUUGAAAUCUGGCCCCCCGGGGCCCGAGUUGUAAUUUGCAGAGGAUGCUUUUGGCGAGGCGCCUUCCCAGUUCCCUGGAACGGGACGCCAUAGAGGGUGAGAGCCCCGUCUGGUCGGACGCCGAGCCUCUGUAAAGCUCCUUCGACGAGUCGAGUAGUUUGGGAAUGCUGCUCUAAAUGGGAGGUAUAUGUCUUCUAAAGCUAAAUACCGGCCAGAGACCGAUAGCGCACAAGUAGAGUGAUCGAAAGAUGAAAAGCACUUUGAAAAGAGGGUUAAACAGUACGUGAAAUUGUUGAAAGGGAAGCGCCUGUGACCAGACUUGCGCCCGCCGGAUCACCCAGCGUUCUCGCUGGUGCACUCCGGCGGGCACAGGCCAGCAUCAGCUCGUCUCGGGGGACAAAGGCGGCGGGAACGUGGCUCCUCCGGGAGUGUUAUAGCCCGCCGUGCAAUGCCCUGGGGCGGGCUGAGGACCGCGCGUACGCAUGGAUGCUGGCGUAAUGGUCAUCAGCGACCCGUCUUGAAACACGGACCAA